This 409-nucleotide ribosomal RNA is filed under the name bacterium. RNAcentral's name for it is "partial 16S ribosomal RNA". It matches the Rfam family "Bacterial small subunit ribosomal RNA", at positions 355 to 776 of the family's 1533-position model. The record is from RNAcentral.
UGGGGAAUAUUGCACAAUGGGCGAAAGCCUGAUGCAGCGACGCCGCGUGAGGGAUGACGGCCUUCGGGUUGUAAACCUCUUUCAGUAGGGACGAAGCGCAAGUGACGGUACCUGCAGAAGAAGCACCGGCUAACUACGUGCCAGCAGCCGCGGUAAUACGUAGGGUGCGAGCGUUGUCCGGAAUUACUGGGCGUAAAGAGCUCGUAGGCGGUUUGUCACGUCGUCUGUGAAAUCCUAGGGCUUAACCCUGGACGUGCAGGCGAUACGGGCUGACUUGAGUACUACAGGGGAGACUGGAAUUUCUGGUGUAGCGGUGGAAUGCACAGAUAUCAGGAAGAACACCGGUGGCGAAGGCAGGUCUCUGGGUAGUAACUGACGCUGAGGAGCGAAAGCAUGGGUAGCGAACAGG